CGCAAUGUAAACAUAAUUUGAAAAUGGUGACCAUCAGAAAUUCUAAGUCUAGAAUUCCAAUUGAAAUGAAAGUUUAUUUUAACCUCAAAAUGAGAAUCUCCCCCUUUGUCGUUUCUUACAUAAAAAUGAAAUCACUAAUCUAUGUUUUAUGCACCUAGCUAAUAAUAAUAAUAAUAAUAAGUUAAGAAUGAAUACAAGUCCAAAUUAAAAUAGUCUUCCAUGACUAGUGCAUAUAAAAUUAAUAUGAAACCAAAUAAUAAACAAAAUAGUAGUGGUUCUCCUAUAUAGAUAUAUGAUCAUCACCUAGCUACAAGCAAUCUCGCAAAAGAGAAGAGAUAAUAAUAAUACAAGAAAACAUCAUAAAAUACAAAAUAAGAGGAAAUAUCUAAGGCCAAUAAGGGCCCCAGCAAAUCAAAUGGAAGAUAUACUCUUCCUUCUCAAUGUUAUUAUUAUUGCUCCUCCGUUUGGACACUCUAGUUGCAACAUUAGUAGUAGUAGUUGUUGUUGUUGAUGAUAAUGAUGAUGAGCCAUUUCUUCCUACCUUCUCUGGUGAUGAUGGUGCCAACAAUGUUUUCAAUGCUGUCUCCAUCUUGCACGUACUCCUCUCACCAUUCAUCUUUCUUUAUUAAUUUGAUAUGGCUAGUUCCGAUCCAAAGCUUAACUCGCGGGAUGCUAAAG
This 678-nucleotide long non-coding RNA is filed under the name Arachis ipaensis. Its description in RNAcentral is "long non-coding RNA (AIPA_LNC001924)". The record is from RNAcentral. Lineage: Eukaryota; Viridiplantae; Streptophyta; Magnoliopsida; Fabales; Fabaceae.